Gallus gallus (chicken) is the source of this 1309-nucleotide long non-coding RNA. RefSeq lists it as uncharacterized. Lineage: Eukaryota; Metazoa; Chordata; Aves; Galliformes; Phasianidae. The record is from RefSeq and is a predicted model, not a curated record. The transcript is spliced from 3 exons.
GGGACACACGGAGAUGGGAUUAUGGUGGGGAGCUGGAGGGCUGGGGGUGAGGAGACCCCCUGUGGAGUUUUUCCUGCUUUAUUUUCCUCACUCGUGACUGCGGAGGGCACUCGUGGCUCAGGGCUUUGCAGCUGGAUUCAAUCAUCUCCGUGCGGCUUUUGGCAGCUCCGUCACCAGACCUGACGGUGACGGUCUCCCAGGGGACAGCGGAUGGCAGAGCACACAUCGCUGCCUCUCCUGUGCUUUGAAGUGGUUUAGAGACAACGUGGAACUGGGGAAGAAAACGGCAAUUUGGGCUCUCCAAGGAAGCCAGCAGAGACACAGCUCUCAUCAUCACAUCCCUCUCGGGUAAUUUGGUCAAAAACCAGGUGAUACCCACUCUCAACAUACAACAGAAGCAGACAGUGAGCAGGCACUUUCCAUACAAGGCUGCUGAGCUUCACAAGAGAAAGAAAACCAAUCAGCAGUCCCCUAGGGAGCAAGGUUCAGCAUUUACCUCAUCUGCAAGUCGGAGAAGCAUACGCAGAAAUCUGGCCAGAUGCAUCUGUCUCGCUGACAGCUCGCCUCUUCCAGAGUAAUCUGUCCGAUACAGAGCUGUCGCACUGUCCACUAUCAGCAGUGCAUACCUGGAGAAGUUACAUGAAGCAUUCUCAGAGGUGAAUAAUGUGAACAUCUGAGUCAACUGUGAGCUGCAUGCAGAUGUGGAUGUAAGCCCUUCUCACCUGCCAGUUAGCAGAACUGUUAUUUUUACCACUACAGACUCAAUCUGCAGUGUUCAGAUUACUAUGAAAUAAAACUCUUUAUACCAUGGGUAUUCUGUACACCUCAGGUAAACAGGUCCCUGCAUACCUCAUAGCACCACCCCCCUUCCUUCUAAAGGGUCUCAUAAACCUCAGUUUCAAACUAAAGCUAUCUGCACACGUCCUGGUCUUGGCUGGGAUCGUUAUUCUUCUUCAUAGUGGAUGGUAUGCUACUGUGUUUUGGGAAAGAAAAAAAAAAUAAAGGUAACAAAAAUGUGGAUAAUACAUUGAUAGCUGCUGUGCUUACAUUGAGUCAAGGACUCUUCAGCUCCUCCUGCUGCCCUGCCUGUGAGGAGCUGGGAAAGAACCAGAACAGCUGACCCAGGCUGGCCAAAGGGAUAUCCUAUACCAUACAUAACAGCAUCACGCUGAACAACAAAACUGGGGGAGACUGCUACUGCUCAGUGAUAAGCAGAGCAUUGGUCAGCAGGUGGUGAGUAACUGCACUGUGCAUCGUUUUUGUAGCAGUUGUGUUUUGUUUUCUUUCUUAUUAAACUGUCUUUAUCUCA